CAUCCACUGUCAAUCAAAUGAAACCGGAAGAAAGGUUCCAUAUGAAAACUAUGCGUUCGGAUAGCGGUGUUUCCUUACCGAGCCGUUACGCCAUGUCAACUUCCCCGGUAAAGACGCGGAUCCCGCUCACGAGCUUCGGUCAUCUGAUCACCGAGGUGAAGAGACAGUUGUUUGGUAUGGAGGCUCCAGCCACUGUUAACCUGACUGGAUGGAGGAGACAUUUCAACAGCUACACACUACAGGGGAGACGCAACUUUGUCCUGGCUACCUAUGGUGUCUUAGCGUUGUCGGCAGCAGCCUAUAUGAUACGCCAUCGGAGUAAAGAGGACCCAAGAGUAGCCAGCCCCACUGCCUGACUGAAAAGACUGACACCCCCUCUCAAUAUCAAUGUCCCAAUGCUUUAUUGGCCUGAUAUUCACAUUGAUUUCCAAUACUACCGAAUCAGAGAUUCAUAACAGCAGC
This is a long non-coding RNA of Oncorhynchus masou masou (cherry salmon), 462 nucleotides long. RefSeq lists it as uncharacterized. Lineage: Eukaryota; Metazoa; Chordata; Actinopteri; Salmoniformes; Salmonidae. The transcript has 4 exons. The record is from RefSeq and is a predicted model, not a curated record.